Molecule: non-coding RNA, 235 nt
Organism: Neolamprologus brichardi
Lineage: Eukaryota; Metazoa; Chordata; Actinopteri; Cichliformes; Cichlidae
Source: RefSeq, a predicted model, not a curated record
CUCAAGUCGCCCCAACUCAAACCGCCCCAAAUUGCACCAAACGUGAGUUCCAAUAUAUUUAUGAUGUUAUUCAGUUUAUAACAUUUACUUCUUAUUAUGUUGUUUUCAGACUUGUUUAAUUCCAGUUGUCCCCCUGCUGUGCUUCCUGAUGUAGCAUGCAUCUCCCUCAGCCUCAUGUGUAAAUGUACACAGUCCUCAAACACUUAUUAUGAAAUGACAGAAAUGUGUCUUCUUA